GCCUUCUUAGCUCAAUGGUAGAGUAUUGGUUUUGUAAACCAAACGUUAUCGGUUCAAGUCCGAUAGAAGGCU
Molecule: transfer RNA, 72 nt
Filed under: Choricystis parasitica
Lineage: Eukaryota; Viridiplantae; Chlorophyta; Trebouxiophyceae
Description: tRNA-Thr
Rfam family: tRNA
About the family: Transfer RNA (tRNA) molecules are approximately 80 nucleotides in length. Their secondary structure includes four short double-helical elements and three loops (D, anti-codon, and T loops).
Source: RNAcentral